RNAcentral lists this transfer RNA (85 nucleotides) under Curtobacterium citreum. Its description in RNAcentral is "tRNA-Tyr". It matches the Rfam family "tRNA". From Rfam's summary of the family: Transfer RNA (tRNA) molecules are approximately 80 nucleotides in length. Their secondary structure includes four short double-helical elements and three loops (D, anti-codon, and T loops). The record is from RNAcentral. RNAcentral also lists the same sequence under 1 other name. Lineage: Bacteria; Bacillati; Actinomycetota; Actinomycetes; Micrococcales; Microbacteriaceae.
GGGUGGUUCGCAUAGAGGCCGAUUGCACCUGGCUGUAAACCAGGCGACUUAGUCCGCGGGAGUUCGAAUCUCUCACCACCCACCA